Molecule: ribosomal RNA, 625 nt
Filed under: Kocuria rhizophila
Lineage: Bacteria; Bacillati; Actinomycetota; Actinomycetes; Micrococcales; Micrococcaceae
Description: bacterial SSU rRNA
Rfam family: Bacterial small subunit ribosomal RNA
Source: RNAcentral
ACGCUGAAGCUUGGUGCUUGCACUGGGUGGAUGAGUGGCGAAUGGGUGAGUAAUACGUGAGUAACCUGCCCUUGACUCUGGGAUAAGCCUGGGAAACUGGGUCUAAUACUGGAUAUGACCUCCUGUCGCAUGGUGGGGGGUGGAAAGGGUUUGUACUGGUUGUGGAUGGGCUCACGGCCUAUCAGCUUGUUGGUGGGGUAAUGGCCUACCAAGGCGACGACGGGUAGCCGGCCUGAGAGGGUGACCGGCCACACUGGGACUGAGACACGGCCCAGACUCCUACGGGAGGCAGCAGUGGGGAAUAUUGCACAAUGGGCGCAAGCCUGAUGCAGCGACGCCGCGUGAGGGAUGACGGCCUUCGGGUUGUAAACCUCUUUCAGCACGGAAGAAGCGAAAGUGACGGUACGUGCAGAAGAAGCGCCGGCUAACUACGUGCCAGCAGCCGCGGUAAUACGUAGGGCGCAAGCGUUGUCCGGAAUUAUUGGGCGUAAAGAGCUCGUAGGCGGUUUGUCGCGUCUGCUGUGAAAGCCCGGGGCUUAACCCCGGGUGUGCAGUGGGUACGGGCAGACUUGAGUGCAGUAGGGGAGACUGGAACUCCUGGUGUAGCGGUGAAAUGCGCAGAUAU